Molecule: ribosomal RNA, 253 nt
Filed under: uncultured bacterium
Lineage: Bacteria
Description: partial 16S ribosomal RNA
Rfam family: Bacterial small subunit ribosomal RNA
Source: RNAcentral
UACGUAGGGUGCGAGCGUUAAUCGGAAUUACUGGGCGUAAAGCGUGCGCAGGCGGUUCUCCAAGUCCGUUGUGAAAGCCCCGGGCUCAACCUGGGAAUGGCAGUGGAAACUAGGGGACUGGAAUCUGGCAGAGGGGGGUGGAAUGCCGCGUGUAGCAGUGAAAUGCGUAGAGAUGCGGCGGAACACCGAUGGCGAAGGCAGCCCCCUGGGAUAACACUGACGCUCAUGCACGAAAGCGUGGGGAGCAAACAGG